Molecule: ribosomal RNA, 846 nt
Filed under: Cytophagaceae bacterium 25-7PB
Lineage: Bacteria; Pseudomonadati; Bacteroidota; Cytophagia; Cytophagales; Cytophagaceae
Description: bacterial SSU rRNA
Rfam family: Bacterial small subunit ribosomal RNA
Source: RNAcentral
UAGGGAUAGUGGCGCACGGGUGCGUAACGCGUAACCAACCUACCUGAAUCUGGGGGAUAGCCCGCCGAAAGGCGGAUUAAUACCGCAUAAAACGGCAGACCGGCAUCGGUUCACCGUUAAAGAUUUAUUGGAUUCAGAUGGGGUUGCGUGCCAUUAGCUAGUUGGGGAGGUAACGGCUCACCAAGGCGACGAUGGCUAGGGGAGCUGAGAGGCUGGUCCCCCACACGGGCACUGAGAUACGGGCCCGACUCCUACGGGAGGCAGCAGUAGGGAAUAUUGGGCAAUGGACGAGAGUCUGACCCAGCCAUGCCGCGUGCAGGAUGAAGGCUUUCUGAGUCGUAAACUGCUUUUAUCAGGGAAGAAAAAAGGGCAUGCGUGCUCUACUGACGGUACCUGAUGAAUAAGCACCGGCUAACUCCGUGCCAGCAGCCGCGGUAAUACGGAGGGUGCAAGCGUUGUCCGGAUUUAUUGGGUUUAAAGGGUGCGUAGGCGGUUCUUUAAGUCCGGGGUGAAAGCCCACUGCUCAACAGUGGAACUGCCCUGGAAACUGGAGGACUUGAGUACAGACGAGGGUGGCGGAAUGGAUACUGUAGCGGUGAAAUGCAUAGAUAGUAUCCAGAACACCGAUUGCGAAGGCAGCUGCCUAGACUGUAACUGACGCUGAGGCACGAAAGCGUGGGGAGCGAACAGGAUUAGAUACCCUGGUAGUCCACGCCGUAAACGAUGGAUACUCGCUGGUGGCGAUAGACGGUCACUGGCUUAGCGAAAGCGUUAAGUAUCCCACCUGGGGAGUACGCUCGCAAGAGUGAAACUCAAAAGAAUUGACGGGGGCCCGCACAAGUGGUG